Molecule: long non-coding RNA, 1276 nt
Organism: Trichomycterus rosablanca
Lineage: Eukaryota; Metazoa; Chordata; Actinopteri; Siluriformes; Trichomycteridae
Exons: 3
Source: RefSeq, a predicted model, not a curated record
UGCUACCUGGAGACUUCUGUCAAUGUACCACUGGGGGUAAAGUUAAUACAUUAAUAAUAAUGUGAUUACAAAACAGUUUUACAUUUUGUUUCUGGUCUGUCUACAGUCGUGAUAUUUGUUUUGUUCCAAGCAAAACUUCUAUGAGGUGGUCCAGAAUUAUUGGCGCAUGUGGGCUGACGCUGCUCACUGGUUGGAGAAAUCCACUGUUUACACAUUAGACAGUGACUGACUCCAAGUCAAACUUUGAGGCAAUUCAAUAUCAGUCUUAAUGUACAGUACAGUCUACUCACUUAUAGUUAAGCACUGAUCCUGCUGUCAUCUCAAUACAUGGGUAGUUAUGUAUCACAGAAAGAUUCAUUUUAAAUUUGUUCCUUAGCUGCCACUUAGCUGCUUGCGAACUGCAGCAUUACAGACAUUGCCCUGAAGCUGCCUGCUUUCCACAAAGUCCUUCUCAAUCCUUCUGACCAGCAUCCACUCCUAUUCAUGAGUGGAAAUGAGCUGGUGAUGUACCUGGCAGCACUGAAUAAGCAGGUGACUGAUUUCACCAGGUUAUGUGAAGCAGAAUUCAGUGUUACCAAUGGGAAUAAAGCAGUGCAAAAUAAGAAUAUGAUUAUUUUCUGGACAGGAUGUGUUUAAGACGCAUCUCUCAUAUGAAUCACAGCUUCACUUCCUAAAAGAUACAGUCAAUUGGAUCCUGGAGCUGCUCGUGGCUCAGGAAAAACAUCCUGAUUUCCUAAAGUGCUGUUUACUCAGGUGCUAGAACUCUACAGAGAUGCAGGAGGCUUGGCUUAUGUCGUAUUGGACCUUAUAAAAUUGUCCAGCAGACACUAAAGGCCAUGAAGAAUAUAUGAAUUUAUAUGAAUAUAAUAAUUGUUAUAUAUGAAUAUAACAAUUUCCUCCGGAAAUUUUCUGCUGACACACACUAACCUGUAUUGACUAUGUUACUUGCAUUUUUUGCACACCUCCUGGAACUGAACAAGUAAUUUCUGCACCUUACUUGUAUUUUUGCACCUUAUUUACUUUUUAGGCACCUUAUCGGCAUUGCCAAUUUUACGCUGCUAAUGUACAUGUCACUACCUCAUGAACCAUUGUACCAUCUAUUCACCAUCAUGUACUAACACUUGUCCUUAGUCCUGUCUUCUAAUUACUUGUUUAUAUUAGGGAUAAUUAGGAAUAUCUUUUGUAGUUAUUUAUUAUAGGAUUUUUUGUAUUUAUUGUUGUAUUUUACACUGUUUUGUAUUGUCUUGCACUUUUUGUACCGUGUUACACUGUGAUC